Molecule: ribosomal RNA, 492 nt
Filed under: uncultured bacterium
Lineage: Bacteria
Description: partial 16S ribosomal RNA
Rfam family: Bacterial small subunit ribosomal RNA
Source: RNAcentral
AGUGAACGCUGGCGGUAGGCCUAACACAUGCAAGUCGAACGGCAGCACAGUAAGAGCUUGCUCUUACGGGUGGCGAGUGGCGGACGGGUGAGGAAUACAUCGGAAUCUACUUUUUCGUGGGGGAUAACGUAGGGAAACUUACGCUAAUACCGCAUACGACCUACGGGUGAAAGCAGGGGAUCUUCGGACCUUGCGCGAUUGAAUGAGCCGAUGUCGGAUUAGCUAGUUGGCGGGGUAAAGGCCCACCAAGGCGACGAUCCGUAGCUGGUCUGAGAGGAUGAUCAGCCACACUGGAACUGAGACACGGUCCAGACUCCUACGGGGGGCAGCAGUGGGGAAUAUUGGACAAUGGGCGCAAGCCUGAUCCAGCAAUACCGCGUGGGUGAAGAAGGCCUUCGGGUUGUAAAGCCAUUUUGUUGGGAAAGAAAAGAAGCAGGUUAAUCCCCCGCUGUUCUGACGGUACCCAAAGAAUAAGCACCGGCUAACUUCGUG